GGUACGGUGCGCCUGACCCACGGGUGUCAACUCGCGAGUGUUGGAGCGCGCCUACCAUCUCUCUCUAAUGGGACAGGCUGCACUUAACUGGGCGGUCUGUGCGAUCUCAUUAGGUCAUUUACUUUGAAAAAAUUAGAGUGUUUAAAGCAAGCGCUGCGCUGUGAAUACAUUAGCAUGGAAUAAUAAUUUAGGACUUUGCCCCUAUUUGUAUUGGUUUCUAGGAGUGAAGUA
This 231-nucleotide ribosomal RNA is filed under the name uncultured fungus. Its description in RNAcentral is "partial small subunit ribosomal RNA". The stretch from base 109 to 231 matches the Rfam family "Eukaryotic small subunit ribosomal RNA", at positions 742 to 864 of the family's 1831-position model. The record is from RNAcentral. Lineage: Eukaryota; Fungi.